This 484-nucleotide ribosomal RNA is filed under the name uncultured bacterium. RNAcentral's name for it is "bacterial SSU rRNA". It matches the Rfam family "Bacterial small subunit ribosomal RNA", at positions 28 to 507 of the family's 1533-position model. The record is from RNAcentral.
GACGAACGCUGGCGGCGUGGAUUAGGCAUGCAAGUCGAACGGUAGGGUUCCUUCGGGGACCUGAGAGUGGCGAACGGGUGAGUAACACGUAGGUAAUCUACCCUCAAAUCGGGGACAACCCAGGGAAACUUGGGCUAAUACCGGAUGAGUGCGCUUUCGGGUGCAUAAAAGGUGGCGUAAGCUGCUGUUUGGGGAUGAGCCUGCGCUCUAUUAGUUAGUUGGUGAGGUAACGGCUUACCAAGGCGAUGAUAGAUAGGCGGCCUUAACGGGUGGUCGCCCACACUGGGAUUGAGAUACGGCCCAGACUCCUACGGGAGGCAGCAGUCGAGAAUAGUCUACAAUGGACGAAAGUCUGAUAGUGCGACGCCGCGUGAACGAAGAAGCCCUUCGGGUGUAAAGUUCUUUAUAUGUGAGCAAUGCUUCCUAGGUGAAUAGUUUAGGGAGAGAGAUAUUAGCAUAUGAAUAAGCAACGGCUAACUCCGUG